This 426-nucleotide ribosomal RNA is filed under the name uncultured bacterium. RNAcentral describes it as "bacterial SSU rRNA". It matches the Rfam family "Bacterial small subunit ribosomal RNA", at positions 354 to 796 of the family's 1533-position model. The record is from RNAcentral.
GUGAGGAAUUUUCCGCAAUGGGCGAAAGCCUGACGGAGCAAUGCCGCGUGAAGGAUGAAGGCCUAUGGGUUGUAAACUUCUUUUCUCAGAAAAGAAUUAUGACGGUAUCUGAGGAAUAAGCAUCGGCUAACUCUGUGCCAGCAGCCGCGGUAAGACAGAGGAUGCAAGCGUUAUCCGGAAUGAUUGGGCGUAAAGCGUCUGUAGGUUGUUUAAAAAGUAUUCUGUCAAAGAUUAGGGCUUAACCCUAGAUAGGCAGAAUAAACUUUUAAGCUAGAGGUUGGUAGAGGCAGAGGGAAUUCCCGGUGGAGCGGUGAAAUGCGUAGAUAUCGGGAGGAACACCAAAGGCGAAGGCACUCUGCUGGGCCAAUACUAACACUGAGAGACGAAAGCGAGGGGAGCAAAUGGGAUUAGAUACCCUGGUAGUCC